GACGAACGCUGGCGGCGUGCUUAACACAUGCAAGUCGAACGGAAAGGCCCUGCUUUUGUGGGGUGCUCGAGUGGCGAACGGGUGAGUAACACGUGAGUAACCUGCCCUUGACUUUGGGAUAACUUCAGGAAACUGGGGCUAAUACCGGAUAGGAGCUCCUGCUGCAUGGUGGGGGUUGGAAAGUUUCGGCGGUUGGGGAUGGACUCGCGGCUUAUCAGCUUGUUGGUGGGGUAGUGGCUUACCAAGGCUUUGACGGGUAGCCGGCCUGAGAGGGUGACCGGCCACAUUGGGACUGAGAUACGGCCCAGACUCCUACGGGAGGCAGCAGUGGGGAAUAUUGCACAAUGGGCGGAAGCCUGAUGCAGCAACGCCGCGUGCGGGAUGACGGCCUUCGGGUUGUAAACCGCUUUCGCCUGUGACGAAGCGUGAGUGACGGUAAUGGGUAAAGAAGCACCGGCUAACUACGUGCCAGCAGCCGCGGUGAUACGUAGGGUGCGAGCGUUGUCCGGAUUUAUUGGGCGUAAAGGGCUCGUAGGUGGUUGAUCGCGUCGGAAGUGUAAUCUUGGGGCUUAACCCUGAGCGUGCUUUCGAUACGGGUUGACUUGAGGAAGGUAGGGGAGAAUGGAGUUCCUGGUGGAGCGGUGGAAUGCGCAGAUAUCAGGAGGAACACCAGUGGCGAAGGCGGUUCUCUGGGCCUUUCCUGACGCUGAGGAGCGAAAGCGUGGGGAGCGAACAGGCUUAGAUACCCUGGUAGUCCACGCUGUAAACGGUGGGUACUAGGUGUGGGGUCCAUUCCACGGGUUCCGUGCCGUAGCUAACGCUUUAAGUACCCCGCCUGGGGAGUACGGCCGCAAGGCUAAAACUCAAAGGAAUUGACGGGGCCCCGCACAAGCGGCGGAGCAUGCGGAUUAAUUCGAUGCAACGCGUAGAACCUUACCUGGGUUUGACAUGGAUCGGGAGUGCUCAGAGAUGGGUGUGCCUCUUUUGGGGUCGGUUCACAGGUGGUGCAUGGCUGUCGUCAGCUCGUGUCGUGAGAUGUUGGGUUAAGUCCCGCAACGAGCGCAACCCUUGUUCACUGUUGCCAGCACGUUAUGGUGGGGACUCAGUGGAGACCGCCGGGGUCAACUCGGAGGAAGGUGGGGAUGACGUCAAGUCAUCAUGCCCCUUAUGUCCAGGGCUUCACGCAUGCUACAAUGGCUGGUACAGAGAGUGGCGAGCCUGUGAGGGUGAGCGAAUCUCGGAAAGCCGGUCUCAGUUCGGAUUGGGGUCUGCAACCCGACCUCAUGAAGUCGGAGUCGCUAGUAAUCGCAGAUCAGCAACGCUGCGGUGAAUACGUUCCCGGGGCU
This 1346-nucleotide ribosomal RNA is filed under the name uncultured bacterium. RNAcentral's name for it is "partial 16S ribosomal RNA". It matches the Rfam family "Bacterial small subunit ribosomal RNA", at positions 28 to 1381 of the family's 1533-position model. The record is from RNAcentral.